Rhinichthys klamathensis goyatoka is the source of this 214-nucleotide long non-coding RNA. RefSeq lists it as uncharacterized. NCBI's taxonomy places the organism in Eukaryota, Metazoa, Chordata, Actinopteri, Cypriniformes, Leuciscidae. The transcript is spliced from 4 exons. The record is from RefSeq and is a predicted model, not a curated record.
AAAUCCCUCAAAUGAAUAGUGACCUCGCCAUUAUUGCUCAAAAGACUGGAAGGAGUCCUGUGGAGGAUCUAGAUGUCUCCUUCUCGACUUUUGGAGAAGUGCAACCGACUCCAGAGAGGAGACCGAGCCCUUUAAAGAGAGUCCCAUGGUGACUGAGCGCUUUCGAGAGACACCACAGACUGCAGCAACAGCUGAGACCACAGCGAAAACACAG